UGUCUUCAGGGCGGGGUGCAAGUCCCCACUGGCGGUACAGUCCGCGACCGCCUGCCGCACGGCAGGCGCUGAUUCGGUGAAACUCCGGAACCAACAGUUACAGUCUGGAUGGAAGAAGAUG
This 121-nucleotide non-coding RNA is filed under the name uncultured Dysosmobacter sp. RNAcentral's name for it is "FMN riboswitch (RFN element)". It matches the Rfam family "FMN riboswitch aptamer (RFN element)". Rfam says of the family: The RFN element is a highly conserved domain that is found frequently in the 5'-untranslated regions of prokaryotic mRNAs that encode for flavin mononucleotide (FMN) biosynthesis and transport proteins. This element is a metabolite-dependent riboswitch that directly binds FMN in the absence of proteins. In Bacillus subtilis, the riboswitch most likely controls gene expression by causing premature transcription termination within the 5' untranslated region of the ribDEAHT operon and precluding access to the ribosome-binding site of ypaA mRNA. Lineage: Bacteria; Bacillati; Bacillota; Clostridia; Eubacteriales; Oscillospiraceae. The record is from RNAcentral.